GAUGAACGCUGGCGGCGUGCCUAAUACAUGCAAGUCGAGCGAACAGAUGAGAAGCUUGCUUCUCUGAUGUUAGCGGCGGACGGGUGAGUAACACGUGGGUAACCUACCUAUAAGACUGGGAUAACUCCGGGAAACCGGGGCUAAUACCGGAUAAUAUUUUGAACCGCAUGGUUCAAUAGUGAAAGACGGUUUCGGCUGUCACUUAUAGAUGGACCCGCGCCGUAUUAGCUAGUUGGUAAGGUAAUGGCUUACCAAGGCGACGAUACGUAGCCGACCUGAGAGGGGGAUCGGCCACACUAGAACUGAGACACGGUCCAGACUCCUACAGGAGGCAGCAGUAGGGAAUCUUCCGCAAUGGGCGAAAGCCUGACGGAGCAACGCCGCGUGAGUGAUGAAGGUCUUCGGAUCGUAAAACUCUGUUGUUAGGGAAGAACAAAUUUGUUAGUAACUGAACAAGUCUUGACGGUACCUAACCAGAAAGCCACGGCUAACUACGUGCCAGCCGCCGCUGUAA
RNAcentral lists this ribosomal RNA (514 nucleotides) under uncultured bacterium. RNAcentral describes it as "partial 16S ribosomal RNA". It matches the Rfam family "Bacterial small subunit ribosomal RNA", at positions 28 to 523 of the family's 1533-position model. The record is from RNAcentral.